This is a long non-coding RNA of Carassius carassius (crucian carp), 324 nucleotides long. RefSeq lists it as uncharacterized. NCBI's taxonomy places the organism in Eukaryota, Metazoa, Chordata, Actinopteri, Cypriniformes, Cyprinidae. The transcript is spliced from 3 exons. The record is from RefSeq and is a predicted model, not a curated record.
AACUAUUUCAAACCAGUGUUUCAAACACGUUUUGAUUUUUCAUUGUAAACAAAUAUUGAUUAAAAUUGUACUGUGAUUUCAGGAGUGUCUUAAAAACCCUCUAAAACAGAGGGGAAGUUCCAAGAGAAUUUCUAAUGGGAGCUGCUGACAGAGAUAGAAAACACAGUUUGUUUAUUUCUAAUAAGGAGCUGGAGGCUGUGGAGAAGCAGAUCCGUGACCUCGUGGAGAAGCAGGCCCAGCAGAGAGUGGAGAGCUGUGCUGGAAACAUUCAGGGGUUGACGCUCAUAAGUCCAGGCGUAAGACAUGAACCAGGACCUGGGCGAU